AUCACAUCAAAACUUUUGAUGGGAUAUUGGCCAACUCCGGGUAUUGUGAGGACAAAGCUCAACAUCUCCUUUCAUCCCUUGCUGUGAGCCCACAACAAAAGGAAGCCAUCGAGAGAGCCACAGUUGGGCAAACUAAGAAUGACUUAUGGAUGGCAUAUCGCAAGAAGAGAGUUACAGCCAGCAACUUUGGUCUUGUGUUGGCGGCAGUGAAGAGGAACUCUUACCCUCCUUCAUUAUUCAAAACGCUGCUUGGUCAUUACAACUUCAAGCAAGGAGCUCAUGCUUGUGAUUGGGGAAUCGUUCAUGAGCCAAAGGCUAAAGAAGAGUACAUGAAGCGCACUGGUGUGACCAUCCAGGAGAGCGGAGUGUUUCUCUCUGACAGUGGCCUGCUUGGUGGCUCUCCAGAUGGGACAGUAUCUGCUGACUGCAUCAUUGAGGUGAAAUGUCCUUAUGCAGCCAGAAAGAAGACCAUAAUUCAGGCAGCAGAGGCAAAGGACUUUUAUCUCAAACUGGAUGAAGUUACUGGCCUACUGAAAAUGAAGCCGACUCACAACUACUGGCAUCAAAUUCAGGGCAACCUGUACCUGACAGGAGCUGGCACAUGUCACCUGGUGGUAUGGACUCCGCUGGAUGUUGUAAUUCUGUUCAUCCAUAAAGAUCCAGCUUGGGCAAACAUUAGUGUUUUAGAAAUAUUUUAUAAGGACAUUUUCCUGCCCCAUAUUCUCUCCGAUAUUAAAUGAUUAACCCUGCAUUUGUUUACAUGUUCUAAAUAGGGAUGUCAGGAUUCAAAUUUUUGAGUCACGAAUAUUAUGAGGAAAAAUGUUGCGAUUUCUUUACAAUUAUUCAUGAAUAGCGAAAUUUAGAAGAAAGAAUUUCUCAACCUUUACAGUUCUGUGUAAAUGUUCACAAAAGAGGACAUUUUAC
RNAcentral lists this long non-coding RNA (924 nucleotides) under Neogobius melanostomus (round goby). RNAcentral's name for it is "lncRNA (ENSNMLG00000004603.1)". The record is from RNAcentral. Lineage: Eukaryota; Metazoa; Chordata; Actinopteri; Gobiiformes; Gobiidae.